UACGGGGGGAGCAAGCGUUGUUCGGAUUUACUGGGCGUAAAGGGCGCGUAGGCGGUCAGCACAAGUCAGUUGUGAAAUCUCCGGGCUUAACUCGGAAAGGUCAACUGAUACUGUGCGACUAGAGUGCAGAAGGGGCAACUGGAAUUCUCGGUGUAGCGGUGAAAUGCGCAGAUAUCAGGAGGAACACCGGUGGCGAAGGCGGUUCUCUGGGCAUUACCUGACGCUGAGGAGCGAAAGUGUGGGGAGCGAACAGG
Molecule: ribosomal RNA, 254 nt
Filed under: uncultured bacterium
Lineage: Bacteria
Description: partial 16S ribosomal RNA
Rfam family: Bacterial small subunit ribosomal RNA
Source: RNAcentral